UUAUUUAUCAAGUUUUAUCUACAUGUGCGGAAUAUUUUGCGUUUUGUCGAAGUCAUAUGUUCGUCAGCUUCGAUAUAGUCGCCAACCUUAUGUAUUCUGUAUAUAUAAUUAUAGGUCAUUAUAAACUCAUUAAUAAUUCAUGAAGAAAAUUCAAGAGAAAUGACUGUUUAAUCAAUGUUUGUAAAUCGGAUAAAGAUUUGUCCUGAUUUACAUGAACUUCAGCUUUGAUUUUCUCGGCUGAUACACAAUGUUUAUUUUUAAAAUUAUUUCGCCAAUGAACUCAAAAGAUGGGUCGUUUUUUAAGUACGAUAAAACAUUCGCAUCCGACCUUUAUCUGAUAUACAAACUCUCGCCUUCGGCUGGAGUUUGUAUAUCAGAUAAAGAUAGGUUGCGAAUGUUUUAUCUAGUACAUAAAUCCACGGUUAAUACCGUGAUAAAUCAUAGUGCUUUUCAUUGAGUGCUUGCGGUGCGCGACAAAUGUCAGAGGAAUGGGGCGAGCUUAUUUAUAAAAUUGAGUGCAUUCUGAACCAAUUUUUGGGCCGCCUACGCCUUGCAUGACGUGAAAGAAAUGUUUCUAAAAUUAACAACAUUCCGUGCACCCGAGCAAUAAAACGUGCCAAGGGAAACUUGUUAAGGAAUUAAACAUUUGUUGAUCAAGGAAAAUUCAAAAUUUGCUCGUCCGUAUAUCUGUAUGGGGCUUAAUUUAGCAGCUGUAAAAUUGCCCUCUAUACGGCUCUAGAUAAAUGUUAUAAAAUAAUAAAUUUAUUGUAAUUCUUUUUGAACGUUUUCAGUAAUUCGUUUCUGAUAUGCAAUUCGGAUUUGAA
Molecule: non-coding RNA, 824 nt
Organism: Paramuricea clavata
Lineage: Eukaryota; Metazoa; Cnidaria; Anthozoa; Malacalcyonacea; Plexauridae
Source: the annotation of a GenBank genome assembly